RNAcentral lists this non-coding RNA (21 nucleotides) under Caenorhabditis elegans. Lineage: Eukaryota; Metazoa; Nematoda; Chromadorea; Rhabditida; Rhabditidae. The record is from RNAcentral.
UCUUGGAAAGUUGCCCAGAUA